RNAcentral lists this ribosomal RNA (95 nucleotides) under Candidatus Atribacteria bacterium. Lineage: Bacteria; Pseudomonadati; Atribacterota; Atribacteria. The record is from RNAcentral.
AAACGCUCGUUCCCAUUCCGAACACGAAAGCUAAGCCCUCUAACGCCGAUGAUACUGCCUGGGCAACUGGGUGGGAAAGUAGGAAGCUGCCGGGA